UGGACGGAGGAAGCGCGGGCAG
This 22-nucleotide microRNA is filed under the name Gallus gallus (chicken). RNAcentral's name for it is "gga-miR-6564-3p". Lineage: Eukaryota; Metazoa; Chordata; Aves; Galliformes; Phasianidae. The record is from miRBase by way of RNAcentral.